Molecule: ribosomal RNA, 253 nt
Filed under: uncultured bacterium
Lineage: Bacteria
Description: partial 16S ribosomal RNA
Rfam family: Bacterial small subunit ribosomal RNA
Source: RNAcentral
GACAGAGGGUGCAAACGUUGUUCGGAAUUACUGGGCGUAAAGCGCGUGUAGGCGGCUUGGCAAGUCGGGUGUGAAAGCCCUGGGCUCAACCUAGGAAGUGCACUCGAAACUGCCUCGCUGGAGUGCCGGAGAGGAAAGCGGAAUUCUCGGUGUAGAGGUGAAAUUCGUAGAUAUCGGAAGGAACAUCAGUGGCGAAAGCGGCUUCCUGGACCAGCACCGACGUUCAGGCACGAAAGCGUGGGGAGCAAACAGG